This 277-nucleotide ribosomal RNA is filed under the name Diversispora epigaea. It matches the Rfam family "Eukaryotic large subunit ribosomal RNA", at positions 430 to 695 of the family's 3401-position model. Lineage: Eukaryota; Fungi; Glomeromycota; Glomeromycetes; Diversisporales; Diversisporaceae. The record is from RNAcentral.
CAGUCACGUCUGCCAGGACUCAGCCUUGCUUCUGCUUGGUGUACUUUCUGGUUUGAUGGGCCAACAUCAAUUUUGACCGUUGGAGAAAGGCUUUGGGAAUGUGGCACCUUAGGGUGUGUUAUAGCCCUUUGUUGUAUACAACGGUUGGGAUUGAGGACUGCAGCAUGCCUUCAUGGCCCGGGGUUACCCACGUACAUGCUUAGGAUGUUGGCAUAAUGGCUUUAAGCGACCCGUCUUGAAACACGGACCAAGGAGUCUAACAUAUGUGCGAGUGUUU